GAAUCAGCACUUUGUAAAUACACCUUUUCGCGAUCACCUGAAACUCUUAAUGGGUUUAGGUGAAGAGAAGAAUAGAUAAUUGGGCUACACAAAGAGAACAAGAUAUGAAUCAUGUUAGAGGGAGUCAAAAGAUUCAGAAUUUUACUUUCAUGGACCUGCAAAAUGAAUGGAAAAGGAUAAUGAGUAGCAUCACUGCAUAAAAGUUGACAUAUUUAUGUGUAUCAAUUUAAACAUUAUACUCAAGCAAAACAACCCCUUUAUUUUUUUGAAGACAUUUAUACUUGUAAAUGAUAUAACCCUGAAAAAAAGUGUGCUGUGGC
RNAcentral lists this long non-coding RNA (320 nucleotides) under Musa acuminata (dwarf banana). RNAcentral's name for it is "long non-coding RNA (MACU_LNC002901)". The record is from RNAcentral. Lineage: Eukaryota; Viridiplantae; Streptophyta; Magnoliopsida; Zingiberales; Musaceae.